ACGAACCCCACGACGACGUCUUGAAAUCCUGGAUUUAGCAGAAAAAUACAGUCUUGCGAUCAUUUGUGAUUCAUUUGUUUGCAAAGUUGCUUUUCUGCUGAACGCGGCCUAUGAGAAACGCCCUGUUUCAAUCACGAUGGAAGAAAACCAUGCGUUGAAUGGCAUUUCCGUUGAUGCGCAUUUCUUGUCAAGAAACGCUUUCGGAUCUAAAUGACGGGCACAUUAUGAACCUACCUCGUCGAGAUAAAGAUGAUAAGCAAUUAUCAUUUUUAGCAAUUAUCUGGCGAUAAAGGCAGAUAAUUGUUUCUUAUCGAUUACUUUUGAAUUAAAUUAAGUUUUGUAUGACUAUUUCCUAUAUGACUGUUUUCAAAUAAAUUUUCAUUCACGGA
This is a long non-coding RNA of Acromyrmex echinatior (Panamanian leafcutter ant), 389 nucleotides long. RefSeq lists it as uncharacterized. Lineage: Eukaryota; Metazoa; Arthropoda; Insecta; Hymenoptera; Formicidae. The record is from RefSeq and is a predicted model, not a curated record.